AUUGAACGCUGGCGGCAGGCCUAACACAUGCAAGUCGAGCGGAUGAAGGGAGCUUGCUCCUGGAUUCAGCGGCGGACGGGUGAGUAAUGCCUAGGAAUCUGCCUGGUAGUGGGGGAUAACGUCCGGAAACGGGCGCUAAUACCGCAUACGUCCUGAGGGCGAAAGGGGGGGAUCUUCGGACCUCACGCUAUCAGAUGAGCCUAGGUCGGAUUAGCUAGUUGGUGGGGUAAAGGCCUACCAAGGCGACGAUCCGUAACUGGUCUGAGAGGAUGAUCAGUCACACUGGAACUGAGACACGGUCCAGACUCCUACGGGAGGCAGCAGUGGGGAAUAUUGGACAAUGGGCGAAAGCCUGAUCCAGCCAUGCCGCGUGUGUGAAGAAGGUCUUCGGAUUGUAAAGCACUUUAAGUUGGGAAGAAGGGCAGUAAGUUAAUACCUUGCUGUUUUGACGUUACCAACAGAAUAAGCACCGGCUAACUUCGUG
This 484-nucleotide ribosomal RNA is filed under the name uncultured bacterium. RNAcentral describes it as "partial 16S ribosomal RNA". It matches the Rfam family "Bacterial small subunit ribosomal RNA", at positions 30 to 507 of the family's 1533-position model. The record is from RNAcentral.